This 402-nucleotide ribosomal RNA is filed under the name bacterium. RNAcentral describes it as "partial 16S ribosomal RNA". It matches the Rfam family "Bacterial small subunit ribosomal RNA", at positions 355 to 776 of the family's 1533-position model. The record is from RNAcentral.
UGGGGAAUUUUGCACAAUGGGGGAAACCCUGAUGCAGCGACGCCGCGUGAUUUAGAAGGCCUUCGGGUUGUAAAAAUCUUUUCUAUGGGAAGAAAAUGACAGUACCAUAGGAAUAAGGACCGGCUAAUUACGUGCCAGCAGCCGCGGUAAUACGUAAGGUCCGAGCGUUGUCCGGAAUCAUUGGGCGUAAAGGGUACGUAGGCGGGUAAGCAAGUUAGAAGUGAAAUCCUAUAGCUCAACUAUAGUAAGCUUUUAAAACUGCUCAUCUUGAGGUAUGGAAGGGAAAGUGGAAUUCCUAGUGUAGCGGUGAAAUGCGAAGAUAUUAGGAGGAAUACCGGUGGCGAAGGCGACUUUCUGGCCAUAACCUGACGCUGAGGUACGAAAGCGUGGGUAGCAAACAGG